GACGAACGCUGGCGGCGUGCUUAACACAUGCAAGUCGAACGGAAAGGCCCUGCUUUUGUGGGGUGCUCGAGCGGCGAACGGGUGAGUAACACGUGAGUAACCUGCCCUUGACUUUGGGAUAACUUCAGGAAACUGGGGCUAAUACCGGAUAGGAGCUCCUGCUGCAUGGUGGGGGUUGGAAAGUUUCGGCGGUUGGGGAUGGACUCGCGGCUUAUCAGCUUGUUGGUGGGGUAGUGGCUUACCAAGGCUUUGACGGGUAGCCGGCCUGAGAGGGUGACCGGCCACAUUGGGACUGAGAUACGGCCCAGACUCCUACGGGAGGCAGCAGUGGGGAAUAUUGCACAAUGGGCGGAAGCCUGAUGCAGCAACGCCGCGUGCGGGAUGACGGCCUUCGGGUUGUAAACCGCUUUCGCCUGUGACGAAGCGUGAGUGACGGUAAUGGGUAAAGAAGCACCGGCUAACUACGUGCCAGCAGCCGCGGUGAUACGUAGGGUGCGAGCGUUGUCCGGAUUUAUUGGGCGUAAAGGGCUCGUAGGUGGUUGAUCGCGUCGGAAGUGUAAUCUUGGGGCUUAACCCUGAGCGUGCUUUCGAUACGGGUUGACUUGAGGAAGGUAGGGGAGAAUGGAAUUCCUGGUGGAGCGGUGGAAUGCGCAGAUAUCAGGAGGAACACCAGUGGCGAAGGCGGUUCUCUGGGCCUUUCCUGACGCUGAGGAGCGAAAGCGUGGGGAGCGAACAGGCUUAGAUACCCUGGUAGUCCACGCUGUAAACGGUGGGUACUAGGUGUGGGGUCCAUUCCACGGGUUCCGUGCCGUAGCUAACGCUUUAAGUACCCCGCCUGGGGAGUACGGCCGCAAGGCUAAAACUCAAAGGAAUUGACGGGGCCCCGCACAAGCGGCGGAGCAUGCGGAUUAAUUCGAUGCAACGCGUAGAACCUUACCUGGGUUUGACAUGGAUCGGGAGUGCUCAGAGAUGGGUGUGCCUCUUUUGGGGUCGGUUCACAGGUGGUGCAUGGCUGUCGUCAGCUCGUGUCGUGAGAUGUUGGGUUAAGUCCCGCAACGAGCGCAACCCUUGUUCACUGUUGCCAGCACGUUAUGGUGGGGACUCAGUGGAGACCGCCGGGGUCAACUCGGAGGAAGGUGGGGAUGACGUCAAGUCAUCAUGCCCCUUAUGUCCAGGGCUUCACGCAUGCUACAAUGGCUGGUACAGAGAGUGGCGAGCCUGUGGGGGUGAGCGAAUCUCGGAAAGCCGGUCUCAGUUCGGAUUGGGGUCUGCAACUCGACCUCAUGAAGUCGGAGUCGCUAGUAAUCGCAGAUCAGCAACGCUGCGGUGAAUACGUUCCCGGGGCUUGUACACACCGCCCGUCAAGUCAUGAAAGUUGGUAACACCCGAAGCCGGUGGCCUAACCGUUGUGGGGGAGCCGUCGAAGGUGGGACUGGUGAUUAGGACUAAGUCGUAACAAGGUAGCCGUACCGGAAGG
RNAcentral lists this ribosomal RNA (1477 nucleotides) under uncultured bacterium. Its description in RNAcentral is "16S ribosomal RNA". It matches the Rfam family "Bacterial small subunit ribosomal RNA". The record is from RNAcentral.